Molecule: ribosomal RNA, 832 nt
Filed under: Bacillus sp. (in: firmicutes)
Lineage: Bacteria; Bacillati; Bacillota; Bacilli; Caryophanales; Bacillaceae
Description: bacterial SSU rRNA
Rfam family: Bacterial small subunit ribosomal RNA
Source: RNAcentral
GUCGAGCGGACAGAUGGGAGCUUGCUCCCUGAUGUUAGCGGCGGACGGGUGAGUAACACGUGGGUAACCUGCCUGUAAGACUGGGAUAACUCCGGGAAACCGGGGCUAAUACCGGAUGCUUGUUUGAACCGCAUGGUUCAAACAUAAAAGGUGGCUUCGGCUACCACUUACAGAUGGACCCGCGGCGCAUUAGCUAGUUGGUGAGGUAACGGCUCACCAAGGCAACGAUGCGUAGCCGACCUGAGAGGGUGAUCGGCCACACUGGGACUGAGACACGGCCCAGACUCCUACGGGAGGCAGCAGUAGGGAAUCUUCCGCAAUGGACGAAAGUCUGACGGAGCAACGCCGCGUGAGUGAUGAAGGUUUUCGGAUCGUAAAGCUCUGUUGUUAGGGAAGAACAAGUACCGUUCGAAUAGGGCGGUACCUUGACGGUACCUAACCAGAAAGCCACGGCUAACUACGUGCCAGCAGCCGCGGUAAUACGUAGGUGGCAAGCGUUGUCCGGAAUUAUUGGGCGUAAAGGGCUCGCAGGCGGUUUCUUAAGUCUGAUGUGAAAGCCCCCGGCUCAACCGGGGAGGGUCAUUGGAAACUGGGGAACUUGAGUGCAGAAGAGGAGAGUGGAAUUCCACGUGUAGCGGUGAAAUGCGUAGAGAUGUGGAGGAACACCAGUGGCGAAGGCGACUCUCUGGUCUGUAACUGACGCUGAGGAGCGAAAGCGUGGGGAGCGAACAGGAUUAGAUACCCUGGUAGUCCACGCCGUANACGAUGAGUGCUAAGUGUUAGGGGGUUUCCGCCCCUUAGUGCUGCAGCUAACGCAUUAAGCACUCCGCCU